RNAcentral lists this ribosomal RNA (649 nucleotides) under uncultured bacterium. RNAcentral describes it as "bacterial SSU rRNA". It matches the Rfam family "Bacterial small subunit ribosomal RNA", at positions 140 to 805 of the family's 1533-position model. The record is from RNAcentral.
GGGACAACAGUUGGAAACGACUGCUAAUACCGCAUAAGCCCACGGUAUCGCAUGGUACUGAGGGAAAAGGAUUUAUUCGCUUUAGGAUGGACUCGCGUCCAAUUAGCUAGUUGGUGAGGUAACGGCCCACCAAGGCGACGAUUGGUAGCCGGACUGAGAGGUUGAACGGCCACAUUGGGACUGAGACACGGCCCAGACUCCUACGGGAGGCAGCAGUGGGGGAUAUUGCACAAUGGGGGAAACCCUGAUGCAGCGACGCCGCGUGGAGGAAGAAGGUUUUCGGAUUGUAAACUCCUGUCGUUAGGGACGAUAAUGACGGUACCUAACAAGAAAGCACCGGCUAACUACGUGCCAGCAGCCGCGGUAAAACGUAGGGUGCAAGCGUUGUCCGGAAUUACUGGGUGUAAAGGGAGCGCAGGCGGGAAGACAAGUUGGAAGUGAAAACCAUGGGCUCAACCCAUGAAUUGCUUUCAAAACUGUUUUUCUUGAGUAGUGCAGAGGUAGAUGGGAUUCCCGGUGUAGCGGUGGAAUGCGUAGAUAUCGGGAGGAACACCAGUGGCGAAGGCGGUCUACUGGGCACCAACUGACGCUGAGGCUCGAAAGCAUGGGUAGCAAACAGGAUUAGAUACCCUGGUAGUCCAUGCCGUAA